This 58-nucleotide transfer RNA is filed under the name Neotoma lepida (desert woodrat). It matches the Rfam family "tRNA", at positions 8 to 63 of the family's 71-position model. From Rfam's summary of the family: Transfer RNA (tRNA) molecules are approximately 80 nucleotides in length. Lineage: Eukaryota; Metazoa; Chordata; Mammalia; Rodentia; Cricetidae. The record is from Rfam by way of RNAcentral.
UAGCUCAGUGGUUAAGAGCACUGACUGCUAUUCCAGAGGACCUGGGUUCAGUUCCCAG